This is a long non-coding RNA of Daphnia pulex (common water flea), 1805 nucleotides long. RefSeq lists it as uncharacterized. NCBI's taxonomy places the organism in Eukaryota, Metazoa, Arthropoda, Branchiopoda, Diplostraca, Daphniidae. The transcript has 4 exons. The record is from RefSeq and is a predicted model, not a curated record.
UUUUAACAGAUCCAUUUAAGUGAUUUUACUAUUGUUUGUUUUUCUCAUUAUUUAGCGGAUUACUUGCUGUAAUUAGCAAACACAGUCAAUUAAGACAGGGCAAGUCCAUCUUGAUUAGCUUUGCUUAGAGAGAUUUCCUGGGCAAGGAUGAAGGGUGCGUAGUGAGAAUAACCACAUAUGGUGCAUUAUUUAAACUGAUAAAAUACGCAUACAUAAUGACAAAAAAAAACGCUUAUCUAAGAGGAACAGUUGGCCGAGUGGCUGGAGCCUUGUGCCUUGUGCCUUGUGCUACGGUGCCGCACGCCAUCUGUUCAAUACCCGGCGGAUUACUUGCUGUAAUUAGCAAACACAGUCAAUUAAGACAGGGAAAGUCCAUCUUGAUUAGCUUUGCUUAGAGAGAUUUCCUGGGCAAGGAAGAAGAGUGCGUAGUGAGAAUAACGACAUAUGGUGCAUUAUUUAAACUGAUAAAAUACGCAUACAUAAUGACAAAAAAUACGCUUAUGUAAGAGGAACAGUUGGCCGAGUGGCUGGAGCCUUGUGCCUUGUGCCUUGUGCUACGGUGCCGCACGCCAUCUGUUCAAUACCCGGCGGAUUACUUGCUGUAAUUAGCAAACACAGUCAAUUAAGACAGGGCAAGUCCAUCUUGAUUAGCUUUGCUUAGAGAGAUUUCCUGGGCAAGGAAGAAGAGUGCGUAGUGAGAAUAACCACAUAUGGUGCAUUAUUUAAACUGAUAAAAUACGCAUACAUAAUGACAAAAAAUACGCUUAUGUAAGAGGAACAGUUGGCCGAGUGGCUGGAGCCUUGUGCCUUGUGCCUUGUGCUACGGUGCCGCACGCCAUCUGUUCAAUACCCGGGUAAGACUUUUUUUAUUUUUUAUUUUUAACGAAGUUUUAUGAAGUAGGAAAAUAUUAUAUACAAGAUUUAGUAAGUUUAAUUUAAAAAAUUUCUAUUCUAAACGCAAUUUUUUUUGUGAGAGUUUUAACAGAUCCAUUUAAGUGAUUUUACUAUUGUUUGUUUUUCUCAUUAUUUAGCGGAUUACUUGCUGUAAUUAGCAAACACAGUCAAUUAAGACAGGGCAAGUCCAUCUUGAUUAGCUUUGCUUAGAGAGAUUUCCUGGGCAAGGAAGAAGAGUGCGUAGUGAGAAUAACCACAUAUGGUGCAUUAUUUAAACUGAUAAAAUACGCAUACAUAAUGACAAAAAAAACGCUUAUCUAAGAGGAACAGUUGGCCGAGUGGCUGGAGCCUUGUGCCUUGUGCCUUGUGCUACGGUGCCGCACGCCAUCUGUUCAAUACCCGGCGGAUUACUUGCUGUAAUUAGCAAACACAGUCAAUUAAGACAGGGCAAGUCCAUCUUGAUUAGCUUUGCUUAGAGAGAUUUCCUGGGCAAGGAAGAAGAGUGCGUAGUGAGAAUAACCACAUAUGGUGCAUUAUUUAAACUGAUAAAAUACGCAUACAUAAUGACAAAAAAAACGCUUAUCUAAGAGGAACAGUUGGCCGAGUGGCUGGAGCCUUGUGCCUUGUGCCUUGUGCUACGGUGCCGCACGCCAUCUGUUCAAUACCCGGGUAAGACUUUUUUUAUUUUUUAUUUUUAACGAAGUUUUAUGAAGUAGGAAAAUAUUAUAUACAAGAUUUAGUAAGUUUAAUUAAAAAAAUUUCUAUUCUAAACGCAAAUUUUUUUUGUGAGAGUUUUAACAGAUCCAUUUAAGUGAUUUUACUAUUGUUUGUUUUUCUCAUUAUUUAGCGGAUUACUUGCUGUAAUUAGCAAACACAGUCAAUUAAGACAGGGAAAGUCACUCUUGAUUAGC